MicroRNA precursor from Gallus gallus (chicken), 71 nucleotides. Lineage: Eukaryota; Metazoa; Chordata; Aves; Galliformes; Phasianidae. The record is from Ensembl.
CUCCUUGCAGAGGAAGACUGAUGCUAGUUAUUUGUUUCCCACUGACUGCCUCAUGUCCUCCUCUAGGGGAG